GGUUUGGUCCCGCGCAAGGUACGAAGGUUUAACCCCGCCAGGUCCGGAAGGAAGCAACGGUCUACCUGAUUCCCUGUGCCGCGGGUCGCCGAACCCAC
This 98-nucleotide signal recognition particle RNA is filed under the name bacterium. RNAcentral's name for it is "signal recognition particle sRNA small type". It matches the Rfam family "Bacterial small signal recognition particle RNA". Rfam says of the family: The signal recognition particle (SRP) is a universally conserved ribonucleoprotein involved in the co-translational targeting of proteins to membranes. Archaeal SRP consists of a 7S RNA and homologues of the eukaryotic SRP19 and SRP54 proteins. In most bacteria, the SRP consists of a 4.5S RNA and the Ffh protein (a homologue of the eukaryotic SRP54 protein). The record is from RNAcentral.